GUUUUUAUUGUAUCUGUGCAUUGAGGACAACGUUGAAAUUUAAAUAACUUGGAAGCGAACGGUGGUGUUGGUUGUAGGCGUGGUGCUACAAAAUGGAGAAAUUUGUAAAAAAUAACAUCAAUAUCAACUGUCAACAAGGACAAUGAAGAGGAGCUUGAUGUACAGCAUGCAGAAAAACGCAAAAGGGGAACGUCGCUGGUUUGGCAGGUCUUCAAAAAAUGCAAAGAGAGCAAUACGGCGAUAUGCAAUCAGUGCGGUUAGCAAUAUAAAACCGGUGGCAACACGACGAACUUAAUGGAUCACCUGAAGCGUAUUCAUCCUACGCUAUUAAAAGAACAGCCUUUUGAAAAGGAAAAUUGUAUGUCAAAGUUCUUGGAGCGUGAUAUCCCAUAUUCAAAUACUCCUGAAAAAAAAAAAAACGCAUUGACAAGUUGGUCGUAAAUAUGGUCGCAUCCGAUGCCUUCCCCCUAAAUGUGGUUGAUUGUGUCGGGUUAAAAAAGCUGAUCCAUGAACUAGAUCCGCGCUAUAAAAUGCCAAGUAAGACUCACCUGCGCAAUGUACUUUUAAAAGAUGAGUACAAUAAUUUAAAGGAUAAUUUAAAAGCACAACUGGAGCUUAUCGAAAGCGUCGCAUUAACAGCCGAUGGCUGGACAUCAAGAGCCAAUGAUUCUUACAUAACUGUAACUUGCCAUUUCGUAACGGAGUCUUUUGAGCUUGCUUCCAAAGUGUUGUCGACGAAUCAACUAGUCACGCCAACAAACCAUUCAGCUGUUAACAUUGCUGAUACUAUCAGUAAUGUUCUAAAUGACUGGGAUUUACUAGGUAAAGUCGUUUGCAUUGUAACAGACAAUGACGCAACAAUGAUAAAGGCAUGCGAGCAUCUCAAAAUCGUGCAUAUUCCUUGUUUUGCACAUACAAUAAAUUUAUUAGUGCAAGAUGUGUUAGAGCUACCAUGCGUUUUAAACAUUGUUUCAAAGUGCAAGCGUACAGUCGCAUUUUUUAAAUCUAGCAAUGUAGCGUAUGCGAAAUUUAAAGAAGAGCAAGGCGUUAAUAAGCCGUACGGUUUGAUCCAGGAGUUGGAAUAGUGCUCUUUUCAUGAUGCAGCGUAUUUUGGCGACAAAUGAAGUUAUUUCGAAAGUUUUAUUAAAAACGCGAAAAUCUCUACCGCCGUUUACCGCAGAUGAAAUAACAAUUAUAAGGGAACUGAUUGAGAUACUCAAUCCAUUUCAGGAUGCAACCGUAUCCAUUUCUGCAGACACAAAAGUGACUUUAUCAUUGAUUAUUCCCAUAUGCUGCGAGCUCCGCCAAAAAAAUAUCGGAAAUGAACAGUUUCAUAUCUUUAGAGGCUAAACAAGUCGUCGAGUACCUAAAAGUCCGAAUGCCAGAAAGAUUUUCAAAGUACGAGACGCGAACAGCGACAAGGCUUGCAACCAUUUUGGACCCAAGAUUCAAAAAGGAUGGAUUCCUGGAGCCAUCAAAUGCUGAGGAGGCAGCAGAAGCCUUAGAACUGGAAGUAUCCACUUUCUUAUCCAAAACUGUACAGCGUCCACAGCCACAACCAACACCACCGCAACCAAAACGCUUUUCUUUUAUGACCAAAAAGAUGGAAGAAAAAGUAAAAUCGAACGAGGGUGACGCCUUAAUAAUUUUGCGCCAGUAUUUUGAAGUAGCACAUGAAGGAGAAGGAAUGAAUCCACUUGAGUAUUGGAAGGCGCAUACAAACGAUAGAACAGCCUUAGCAAUGCUAUAAAAAAAAAUCUUAUGCGUGCCAGCAUCUUCCUGCUCUUCAGAGAGAGCAUUCAGCAAAGCUGGACAAAGUAUAUCGGACAGGCGAUGCGCAUUAAAACCCAACAUUGUUGAUAAAUUAAUGUUUUUAAAUAAAAAUUAUGAUCUCAAAUAAAAAAAUUCAUAACUGUUA
This is a long non-coding RNA of Drosophila kikkawai, 1918 nucleotides long. RefSeq lists it as uncharacterized. NCBI's taxonomy places the organism in Eukaryota, Metazoa, Arthropoda, Insecta, Diptera, Drosophilidae. The record is from RefSeq and is a predicted model, not a curated record.